RNAcentral lists this transfer RNA (80 nucleotides) under Desmophyllum pertusum. Its description in RNAcentral is "tRNA-Thr". It matches the Rfam family "tRNA". Rfam says of the family: Transfer RNA (tRNA) molecules are approximately 80 nucleotides in length. Lineage: Eukaryota; Metazoa; Cnidaria; Anthozoa; Scleractinia; Caryophylliidae. The record is from RNAcentral.
UCCCACGAGUUCCUGUAGCUCAGUGGUAGAGCGUCCGACCGGUGUGCGGAAGGUCAUAGGUUCGACUCCUGUUGGGGGAA